RNAcentral lists this ribosomal RNA (235 nucleotides) under uncultured bacterium. RNAcentral describes it as "partial 16S ribosomal RNA". It matches the Rfam family "Bacterial small subunit ribosomal RNA", at positions 524 to 751 of the family's 1533-position model. The record is from RNAcentral.
UACGGAGGGUGCGAGCGUUGUCCGGAAUCACUGGGCGUAAAGGGCGCGUAGGCGGCUGGUGAAGGCUUGUGGUGAAAGUCCGGGGCCUCAACCCCGGAUCGGCACGGGCGACUCGCUGGCUGGAGCCCACUAGAGGCGGGGUGGAAUUCCGGGUGUAGCGGUGGAAUGCGUAGAGAUCCGGAGGAACACCAGUGGCGAAGGCGACAGCCGCUGGGCCGUACCUGACAGCCUGAUG